This is a small nucleolar RNA of Chelonoidis abingdonii (Abingdon island giant tortoise), 73 nucleotides long. Its record names the gene SNORD24. It matches the Rfam family "Small nucleolar RNA SNORD24". From Rfam's summary of the family: U24 is a member of the C/D class of snoRNA which contain the C (UGAUGA) and D (CUGA) box motifs. C/D box snoRNAs have been shown to act as methylation guides for a number of RNA targets. NCBI's taxonomy places the organism in Eukaryota, Metazoa, Chordata, Testudines, Testudinidae. The record is from Ensembl.
UGCAGAUGAUGAUGAUGAAUAUUUGCUAUCUGAGUAUUAAUGAUGACUACUCACCACCAAGAUCGCUGAUGCA